Long non-coding RNA from Etheostoma spectabile (orangethroat darter), 182 nucleotides. RefSeq lists it as uncharacterized. NCBI's taxonomy places the organism in Eukaryota, Metazoa, Chordata, Actinopteri, Perciformes, Percidae. The record is from RefSeq and is a predicted model, not a curated record. The transcript is spliced from 3 exons.
CCAUAGGUGACCGGGCUCCAUGACGUGACGAGUACAUCCAGGCUCAGCUCCUAUUGGCCGCUCUGAACAUCACGACUCAUCCUGAAACCGGAGGGACGUUCUGGCCAAGAUCUUCAGAGGUAAAGACGUGACCUCUGCUGUACUCCCAGCUGAAGAUCUUCUUCGGUGGUGUGACAUGCGCC